This 465-nucleotide ribosomal RNA is filed under the name uncultured bacterium. RNAcentral describes it as "partial 16S ribosomal RNA". It matches the Rfam family "Bacterial small subunit ribosomal RNA", at positions 338 to 795 of the family's 1533-position model. The record is from RNAcentral.
CCUACGGGUGGCUGCAGUAGGGAAUCUUCCACAAUGGGCGCAAGCCUGAUGGAGCAACACCGCGUGAGUGAAGAAGGGUUUCGGUUCGUAAAGCUCUGUUGUUGGGGAAGAACGUGCGUGAGAGUAACUGUUCACGCAGUGACGGUAUCCAACCAGAAAGUCAGGGAUAACUACGUGCCAGCAGCCGCGGUAAUAUGAAGGUGGCAAGCGUUAUCGGGAUUUAUUGGGCGAAAAGCGAGCGCAGACGGUUGCGUAGGCCUGAAGUGAAAGCCUUCGGCUUAACCGAAGAAGUGCAUCGGAAACCGGGCGGCUUGAGUGCAGAAGAGGACAGUGGAACUCCAUGUGUAGCGGUGGAAUGCGUAGAUAUAUGGAAGAACACCAGUGGCGAAGGCGGCUGUCUGGUCUGCAACUGACGCUGAGGCUCGAAAGCAUGGGUAGCGAACAGGAUUAGAUACCCCUGUAGUC